Parelaphostrongylus tenuis is the source of this 72-nucleotide non-coding RNA. NCBI's taxonomy places the organism in Eukaryota, Metazoa, Nematoda, Chromadorea, Rhabditida, Metastrongylidae. The record is from the annotation of a GenBank genome assembly.
GCCUCGGUAGUGUAGUGGCAGAGCACGCGUCCCCGGAUAGGAUGAGGCGCAGUUCGAUUCCCGCGUGAGGUC